Molecule: ribosomal RNA, 393 nt
Filed under: uncultured delta proteobacterium
Lineage: Bacteria; Deltaproteobacteria
Description: bacterial SSU rRNA
Rfam family: Bacterial small subunit ribosomal RNA
Source: RNAcentral
GCCAGCCGCCGCGGUAAUACGUAGGGUGCGAGCGUUGUUCGGAAUUACUGGGCGUAAAGGGCGUGCAGGCGGAUUGGCAAGCCGGAGGUGAAAGCCCGGGGCUCAACCCCGGAGGGUCUUUCGGAACUGCCAGUCUUGAGAGGGUCAGGGGCCAGCGGAAUUCCUGGUGUAGAGGUGAAAUUCGUAGAGAUCAGGAGGAACACCGGCGGCGAAAGCGGCUGGCUGGGGCCACUCUGACGCUGAGGCGCGAAAGCGUGGGGAGCAAACAGGAUUAGAUACCCUGGUAGUCCACGCCGUAAACGAUGGGCACUAAGCGUCCGACGGGUUCGACCCUGUUGGGUGCUGCAGUUAACGCGUUAAGUGCCCCGCCUGGGGAGUACGGUCGCAAGACUA